AAGUCGUAACAAGGUUUCCGUAGGUGAACCUGCGGAAGGAUCAUUCACAAUGAGUGUUUAAUGGCACUCUAAAUCCAUUACCCACCUUGUGUGCAAUGUCGAGGGGGGAGAGGGAGGGAACACUCUUUUCUUCUUCCCCUUUUCAUACAUACCAAAAAAAACUUUCAAUAUCAGUCUACAUCUAUUUAGAGUAUAAAAAACUCGAAAUACAACUUUCAACAACGGAUCUCUUGGCUCUC
Molecule: unclassified non-coding RNA, 239 nt
Filed under: fungal sp.
Lineage: Eukaryota; Fungi
Description: partial internal transcribed spacer region
Rfam family: Eukaryotic small subunit ribosomal RNA (bases 1-46)
Source: RNAcentral